GGCCGGCAGAGGCAGAGGUCAUGAUAGAGGCUACGAGCGUGGCUGUGGCCAUGAAAGAGAAGGAUUAGGUAGAGAUAAAGCAAAUCAAAACAUUAUACGUGAGAGACCAGGUGCAAAAAGUCAGAGGUAUAAAUCUAAGAUUCAAUGUUACACUUGUAAAAAAUAUGGACAUUAUUCCUCUGAAUAUUUUUAUAAUAAAAAUAAUCAAGUUGAAGAAGCAGUUAAUUAUGU
RNAcentral lists this long non-coding RNA (231 nucleotides) under Elaeis guineensis (African oil palm). RNAcentral describes it as "long non-coding RNA (EGUI_LNC002675)". The record is from RNAcentral. Lineage: Eukaryota; Viridiplantae; Streptophyta; Magnoliopsida; Arecales; Arecaceae.